AUACGUAGGUGGUAAGCGUUACCUGGAAUUAUUGGGCGUAAAGAGUGAGCAGGCGGCCGUUUAAGUCUGAAGUCAAAUGCAGUGGCUUAACCACUGUCCGCUUUGGAAACUGGAUGGCUAGAGUACGAGAGAAGUAAGCGGAAUUCCAUGUGUAGCGGUGAAAUGCGUAGAUAUAUGGAGGAACACCAGAGGCGAAGGCGGCUUACUAGAUCGAUACUGACGCUCAGUCACGAAAGCGUGGGUAGCAAAUAGGAUUAGAUACCCUAGUAGUCCACGCCGUAAACGAUGAGAACUAGGUGUAGGGUCAAACCCUGUGCCGAAGCUAACGCAUUAAGUUCUCCGCCUGGGGAGUACGUUCGCAAGAAUGAA
Molecule: ribosomal RNA, 369 nt
Filed under: uncultured bacterium
Lineage: Bacteria
Description: bacterial SSU rRNA
Rfam family: Bacterial small subunit ribosomal RNA
Source: RNAcentral